UAGCUAUUAAAUGAGGUAUAAUGUUGAAGUAAUUGCUAUAAUAUAAAUAUACACCAAUCACUAUAAAGAAGCAAUUAUUUAUUUUUGUUUUCGCUCAUUUUCAUUGAGACGUAUUGACAAAUCGAAAUCUCAUUAAAACAGAUGUUUACCACUGCAACAGAAAUUACUUUAGAUAUUUACAUACUGACUUCUGGAGUUACAGAUACUUGCCUGCUGAAGAUGAAAGAAUCUCAAGCUCCAGCUGUUUGUUAUCAGCAUUCCAACUGAUUAUUUUUCCCUCCUUCAAAAAAACAACAAAAACGGUCCUAUGGUGAAGCAUAGCAAAUUUGACAAGUAUUUCAUAUUACAUUACAAGGAUAUGCUUGAACACAGCCAGAGCAUAUAUUUCUAUUUGAUGAAGUCUUUUGUCCAGUUCUGAAAAAAUCUGUUAAAGUAUUAAACAAUUAACUUUACUAAUUUCAGUUCAUUUAAAACUUUUUAAUGCCAAUAACCCCAAAUCUUUUAUUGCUACAUUAAUCCACAAUGACUGUGGCAAUCAGUCAGCUAUAAAUCAAGUUCUUUGAAACUGCUACAAAGAUAUGUUUUUAGUAAUUCCAUGAAAUGUCUUGACAACUUCAAACAAAUGUGCCAAGUCUUUCAAUGUUCUUUUGCAUCCAAAAGCUUGGAAUUUUUCCUCACAUUUUAAAUUGUUUGCUCUUAAAUCAGCAGUAUUGUUUACAUGUGUUUUUCUAUUGCCAACACUUUAAUAUUUUGAAUAUUUAUAUUGGAAAUAAUCUGCAUGGUAACAUGAGGAGUGGGGGGGAAUAUACAAUGCACAGAAUUAUAAAAUAUCUAAGACUCCCCCAAAACCUUGUCUUACCCACUAUAGUAUUAUACAUACAUUUUUUGAAAAAAUACCUUGUAGUCAGAUACUUCAGGAGUGUAAUUUUCAGUUAAUUCCAAAAGCUGUUAAAAGAAAAAUAUAAAUCAUUAAAAGACAUGAAAAAUUGUAUCUCCUGCUUCUGGCCCUUGCUGACCCACUUACUAUCCAGCCUGGGCCCUAUCACUGAGGGGAAAUGCAUAAGAGCUGUGCAUUCUGCUCCUAGAUCCUAAUGCUUGCCCCAGCUAGUAUUCCAUGACUGAUUGCUCCAGUGGCUUUCCAUUCAGCUUGGACUUCAAGAAGAGAUCACUGUGACUCCAGUUUCCUCAGCACCAGUGAAUGUUUUCUUUAUUUUUGAUUUUGGAAAUGAAGGAGCAUUAUUUUUAUAGCAAAUUUUGCAAUGAUGUCACAGAAACACCAGAUAGAAAGAAAGAGUAACUUAAGAGGAUUUUCAUAGUGACUUUAUUUUUGUGUGUGUGAAGCACUUCUCUCUGGGGUGGUCUUUAAGGAGUUGUUCGUAUCACAAUAGCUUUUCCAAGGAAAAGAGGCGUUCUGGGAAGGUUCAAAGUCAGCUUGAUUAACUGAGGCUUGACUCACGUGGUCUGAGGGAAGGAUCUAUUAUACAGAUUUGUCUACGAAUUCCUACUGAAAUUGAGGUGGAGAUGGCGAGUAUGACAUUUCUUUGCUUAUGUUGUCAUUCUAUUAAGUUAAAACAAAAUAAACUUAAACGCACUAGUUCAAAAGCUUUCUAAAAUAGAGGCAUCAAUUGAUUCCUUUCAAGUUGUGUCUUUAGAGUAAGACAAUUUGAAAAUAUAUGCACAAUCAAAACUGUAGCAGGUGCUUUUAUUCAAGAAAAUACUUGGUUAGAGAAAUUAAUGAAUAAUUUUAGAGCUACUAGCAAAUACAAGGUAUACCAGAAGGCUUAGAGGGCUUCGAACCAGUCAGAGUUCCAGAUUUCUUAUAAAAAGACUUAGACAAAAAUGCCAUUCACCGAUGAAGGUGAAAAGGGGUUCUUUGAAUACCCAGUUCUUAUGCUAAUGGUUGAAGGCCUAGCUUUAUAGUUCAUCUGGAAAGGUUGUGAUGUCAAUCCUACUGGGACCCAUUUUUCCUCAUCUAACUUACAAGCUAGGGGAACCAAGGUUAACUGCAUAUCAGGAUAAAUGCAAACAUAUUGUCUGAUACUUCUAGAGCAACAAUCACUAAAUAAUGCAAGUUUGAACAUUGCAACAUUUUUGGAUGUCACAGCUAAAGUAAUAAAUUGCAAAAUUUAUUAUACUGGUACAUCUGAGCCAUAUGACUAAACACUAUAUAUUUUAGGAUUUCCUUACCUUAAAGGCAAUUUUCCCCCCUACUUGUGGAGGGGCAGCUAAUAGAGGUAGUACACUAUAGUCCCUCUUUGGAACUUCCACUGGAUUCUGUAAAAUAAACAUUAAACUUAUUGAUUCAAUUACUUAACAAAAGCAAAUAAGUAAUAUUAAUGCUGUAUGAAAGAAAACUCAGAAAAUCCAUCACACAAACCAGCAUCCAACCCAAAAGGCAGAGCACAAGCUAUGUGUAUAAUAUAAAACAACAGUAUUUUACAAACACUUGUUCAGGAUGUGAGUUAGCUGUCCUUAACCAUAUGAACAGUACAGUUGUAUUCUUUACACUGGGCUUAUUCUUAUCUGUUUUGUUUUGUUUUUACAAUUUAUGCUCAUUUGAUGUGAGAGGCAGUGUUCCCUGGUGGAUAGAGCACUCAGUUGGGACUCUGAAGACCUGAGUUCUAUUCCCAGUUCUGGCACUGGCCUGUUGGGUGACCUUGGGCAAAUCACUUCUCUUCACUUCAAUUUCCUAUCUGUAAAAUGGGCAUAAUGAUAUCGACCUUCUUUGUUAAGUGCUUUAAGAUCUAGUGUUGAAAAGCAUGAUAUAAGAGCUAGUGGUAUUACUGUGUUUUUGUAUAUUCAAUUACUAACAUUUUAGUAAGAAAACUAUAAAUUUAAAAAAAAAAUCUUUAAAGAAAUGUGUUAUAAGGAUAUAAAUAGUCACUCA
Long non-coding RNA from Chrysemys picta bellii (western painted turtle), 2887 nucleotides. RefSeq lists it as uncharacterized. The record is from RefSeq and is a predicted model, not a curated record. NCBI's taxonomy places the organism in Eukaryota, Metazoa, Chordata, Testudines, Emydidae.